UCAGAUGGACAGGGCAUAGCCGUCGCAAUUUUGUGGCGGAGGAAAGUCCGGACUGCACGGGACGACAUACAGGCUAACAGCCUGGCGGGGUGACCCGACGAUUAGAGGAACAGUAACGCACGCGAUUAAAUUCGUAUGAAACGGCCAAUCUCUAUGUGCAGCAACUUCAAAUAGGCCACCAAUUGAUUGUCCCGAUCAGGUGGCGGGUAGAGGGCUUGACGCCCGAUGGUAACAUUGGGUGCAGAUUAAUUAUGUCCGUUACCCCACGAUUGUUAGAAAUGACAAUGUGGGGCAGCACAGAAUCCGGCUUAUCGUUUAUCUGGUAAU
RNAcentral lists this RNase P RNA (327 nucleotides) under Alphaproteobacteria bacterium. RNAcentral's name for it is "RNase P RNA component class A". It matches the Rfam family "Bacterial RNase P class A". Rfam says of the family: Ribonuclease P (RNase P) is a ubiquitous endoribonuclease, found in archaea, bacteria and eukarya as well as chloroplasts and mitochondria. Its best characterised activity is the generation of mature 5'-ends of tRNAs by cleaving the 5'-leader elements of precursor-tRNAs. Lineage: Bacteria; Pseudomonadati; Pseudomonadota; Alphaproteobacteria. The record is from RNAcentral.